CAAGAAGAACCUACUGUUGAACUCUUCAGAGAAUACUUCUAUUUGAACCGCCGGAAUCAGUGCACCAACGGUCCUAGCUUGGAACUUGGUGGAAUUUCGAUUCAACGCCGACAGGGCGCUGUCUUUCCCUUAGUAGUCUUACCAAGCCAUCCCAAGGAUUGGAACCAAACUUGGUUUUACUGCAAAGACACUUCGCCAGAUGAUGAGAAGCCAUUGCCGGGUUAUCGUGUGGAGCAUCUUGACUCCAAGUUUGUGCUCCCUGACAAGCUGACUGCCGCUGAACGCAAGAAGCUCAUACCGUCCAUCAAAAGGAUUCAAGCUUUAUUGGGAAACGGCCUAACUGGAGUUGACCUGAUCCGUUGCUGGAUCGCAUGGUGUGUCAUCCCUCUGAGCCACAGAUCCAGAUUGAUGUAUAAAUAUGGCGGAGGCCCAGAUGACCCUCUGCGUCAUAGUUCUGUACAACUGACUGAAGAGGACAUUGUUGCAAUGUCAACCAUCCUCGUGAACGGAAAAUACGAUGACUGCAGUAAGGUUGGAUUAAAUCCUUUCUGCAAACUUAACCCGGCACCAGAGGUAAACCCCCUUGACCUCCUUUUUCUUUAG
RNAcentral lists this ribosomal RNA (603 nucleotides) under Triticum aestivum (bread wheat). RNAcentral describes it as "partial small subunit ribosomal RNA". The record is from RNAcentral. Lineage: Eukaryota; Viridiplantae; Streptophyta; Magnoliopsida; Poales; Poaceae.